Molecule: long non-coding RNA, 719 nt
Filed under: Salvia miltiorrhiza (redroot sage)
Lineage: Eukaryota; Viridiplantae; Streptophyta; Magnoliopsida; Lamiales; Lamiaceae
Description: long non-coding RNA (SMIL_LNC007149)
Source: RNAcentral
CCUUUUCAUACUAUCAAUUUUUAUUAUUGUGACUUUUUUACAAUAUUCAGUUCAAAUAUAUUUUCAAUUAAAAUCUAUACGAACAAAAAUGAUGGAAGUAAAAUUUGGAAAACUAAUAAAUAAUUGAAUUCUCAUAUAUAUAUUUUCAACCACCUCAAUACUUUUCAGAAUGGUGCUGCAGAAAAGCGAAGAAGAAGGGUGGCUUGGCUUGAAAUCUUUAUCGCUUCAUGGUUACGAAUUGAGUGGGCACCAAUUAAUGAAUCCCAUCAACAAGACAGUGAAGCUUAAUUAAUAAUACUAUCACUCUACACAUAAAAAUAAAAUAAAAUAAAAUAAAAUAAAACAAAAAUCAAACUCGUAAAUAUCCUUGAUGGAACAUAAAAUCCAUGGAGGUUUUUAUUUAGAAAAACAUUAGCGAAGUAUUUUAUUUAGAAAAUACAAGUGCAAAUAUUAUCUUGUAAAAUGAAAAACGACUAGAUCAUAGAGGUUUUUUUUAGCACACAACUUUUAUAACACCAAUAUAAAUUAUAAAAAAAAAACCCUUCAAAAGAAAUUUAUAAAAAAAGAUUUACCUUAUUUCUCAAUGCAAUGGUACACUACAUAAGUGUAGAAAAUGGCAUUACUUGUGAGAAAUUCAGCAGAUUUAGAAAAAACUAAUUAGAGAAGAAAAAAAAGGGGUAGAAAAUGGAGAAGAGAAGAAAAGAAAUGGUUUCGACGAU